UAAUAACAACAAUAGUAAUAAUAACAAUAAUAGUAAUAAUAACAAUAAUAAUAACAAUAAUAAUAACAAUAAUAAUAAUAAUAAUAAAAUGAUAAUACCUAAUAGUGAUGGACAAAACAGUGAUAAUGAAUAUUCACCAACAAAAAGAACAAGAGCACCAAGAGGAAGAAGAAUGGAAAGUUUAACUGCUCGUGCAAGUGCAUUGCCACAAGUUGAGGGAGUUCGCUUCGAUCCACAUUCUUAUUCAUGGUUUGCUAAAUAUUUAGAACAUGAAGAUUCGAAAGAACCUAAAAUUUCAAAAUAUUUAUUAAAAAAAUGGGGAUUUAAUAAAGCACAUGCUUUAGCUGUACAUACUGUUAAUUGUGCAUACAAAGCUGUUCCUUUCACAGAUGAAGAAUUAAUGAAUAUUUUUAACAUAGAUGUAAACAAUGUUAUGAAUAACCAACGUAAUAGGAUGUUAAGUAUGUCACCAUAUAACGAUAUGUAUAAAGGAAUGCAUAAUGAAAAUAAUGGUAUGGGUAAUAAUAUGGGAAAUAAUAUGGGAAAUAAUAUGGGAAAUAAUAUGGGAAAUAAUAUGGUUAAUAAUAUGGGUAAUAAUAUGGGUAAUAAUAUGGGUGUUAAUAAUGUAUUUAAUAUGAAUAAUUACAAUAACAAUAUGAUGAAUGUAAAUAAUAAUAAUAAUGUUAUGAAGAAUAUGGAAAAAGAUAAUAACAAUAAUAACAAUAAUAGUAGUAAUUGUAGUGAUAGUAGUAAUACUAGUAGUAAUACUAGUGGUAAUAAUAAUAAUAAUAAUGUAACAAGUUCAGGUAAUAUGGGUAAUACUAUAAAUAACACUAAUAGCUACAAAGGUAAUACAAAUGAGAAAAAAAUGAUGAAAAAUAUGAACCAGAUGAAUGGCAUGGGUCAGAUGAAUGGCAUGGGUCAAAUGAAUGGCAUGGGUCAGAUGAAUGGCAUGGGUCAGAUGAAUAGUAUGGGUCAGAUGAAUAGUAUGGGUCAGAUGAACAUGUACAAUAUGAUAAAUGGUAUGCACAAUAUGCACAAUAUGCGGAAUAUGCACAAUAUGCAUAAUAUGCAUAAUAUGUAUAACAUGCAUAAUAUGAACAUAGGGAUGGGCAUGGGAAUGGGGAUGAACCAGAUGAAUAAUAUGAACCAGAUGAACAACGGUUAUAAUAUGAACACUAACGAAGGAAGAUUUAGUAAUAAAAAUUCGAACAUAAAAAGUGGAAAUAGUGACACAACUCCUGUUUCAAAUAAUAUUGAUAUGAGUAAGAUUAACAAUAGUUUAGGAAACAAAAAAAUGAAAUCAACAAAAAGAGUAUGACAAAUAUUUAUACAAUUACAAAUACUGGUAGUAAUAAUACUGGUAGUAAUAAUACUGGUAGUAAUAAUACUGGUAGUAAUAAUACUGGUAGUAAUAAAGGAACUGAUUGUAAAAGCGGUCGUAGCUUC
Molecule: long non-coding RNA, 1449 nt
Filed under: Piliocolobus tephrosceles (Ugandan red Colobus)
Lineage: Eukaryota; Metazoa; Chordata; Mammalia; Primates; Cercopithecidae
Description: lncRNA (ENSPTEG00000011982.1)
Source: RNAcentral